GGGCCGGCGAUGCGUCCUGGUC
RNAcentral lists this small nuclear RNA (22 nucleotides) under Arabidopsis thaliana (thale cress). RNAcentral describes it as "snRNA_11454". The record is from RNAcentral. Lineage: Eukaryota; Viridiplantae; Streptophyta; Magnoliopsida; Brassicales; Brassicaceae.